CCCGCUGAACUUAAGCAUAUCAAUAAGCGGAGGAAAAGAAACUAACAAGGAUUCCCCUAGUAACUGCGAGUGAAGCGGGAAGAGCUCAAAUUUAAAAUCUGGCAGUUCCUUGAGCUGUCCGAGUUGUAAUCUAGAGAAGUGUUUUCCGUGCUGGACCGUGUACAAGUCUCUUGGAAUGGAGCGUCAUAGAGGGUGAGAAUCCCGUCUUUGACACGGACUACCAGUGCUUUUGUGAUGCACUCUCAAAGAGUCGAGUUGUUUGGGAAUGCAGCUCAAAAUGGGUGGUAAAUUCCAUCUAAAGCUAAUAUAGGCGAGAGACCGAUAGCGAACAAGUACCGUGAGGGAAAGAUGAAAAGAACUUUGAAAAGAGAGUUAAAAAGUACGUGAAAUUGUUGAAAGGGAACCGUUUGAAGCCAGUCUUGCUUGCUUGUGAUCAAUCUUUGCUUCGGCUUGGAUGCACUCUCAGGUUAUGCAGGUCAACGUCAGUUUGAGAGGUGGGAAAAAAGCUUGAGGAAUGUGGCCUUCGGGUGUUAUAGCCUCUUGCUAAAUACCAUCUUUUGGACUGAGGCUCGCAGCAAAAAUGUGGGCAGGUUUGCGUUUGAGGUGAUACAUUAUUAAGACAGCUUGCUGACUUAGUUUUGUCUAUCUUCACUGUAAGCUUCGCUUCUAAUUUGCUUAGGUCGUUGACAUAAUGGCUUUAAAUGACCCGUCUUGAAACACGG
Molecule: ribosomal RNA, 722 nt
Filed under: uncultured fungus
Lineage: Eukaryota; Fungi
Description: eukaryotic LSU rRNA
Rfam family: Eukaryotic large subunit ribosomal RNA
Source: RNAcentral